Molecule: long non-coding RNA, 269 nt
Organism: Notothenia coriiceps (black rockcod)
Lineage: Eukaryota; Metazoa; Chordata; Actinopteri; Perciformes; Nototheniidae
Exons: 3
Source: RefSeq, a predicted model, not a curated record
CAACCACAGGCUGGUGAAUGAAGAGAGGACGCUGGAGGUAGAAAUUGAACAGGGAGUGAGAGAUGAAAUGGAGUACCCCUUCAUUGGAGAAGGGGAACCUCACAUCGACGGGGAACCUGGAGAUCUACGUUUCCGCAUCAAAGUGCUGAAACACCCCGUGUUUGAGCGCAGAGGAGACGACCUGUACACCAACGUCACCAUCUCAUUGGUGGAGGCUCUGAUCGGCUUCGAGAUGGACAUCUCACAUCUGGACGGACACAAGGUGCUGU